RNAcentral lists this ribosomal RNA (253 nucleotides) under uncultured bacterium. RNAcentral's name for it is "partial 16S ribosomal RNA". It matches the Rfam family "Bacterial small subunit ribosomal RNA", at positions 524 to 776 of the family's 1533-position model. The record is from RNAcentral.
UACGAAGGGGGCUAGCGUUGUUCGGAAUUACUGGGCGUAAAGGGCGCGUAGGCGGUCCUGAUCGUCGGAUGUGAAAGGCCUGGGCUCAACCUGGGAACUGCAUCCGAUACGGCGGGACUGGAGUGUGGGAGAGGUUGGUGGAAUUCCCAGUGUAGAGGUGAAAUUCGUAGAUAUUGGGAAGAGCACCGGUGGCGAAGGCGGCCAACUGGACCACAACUGACGCUGAGGCGCGAAAGCGUGGGGAGCAAACAGG